GGAAGCCUGAGUCUCCGGUACAGCCUCCUGCUUGGCCACAGAUGUUCCCUGUCAUCAAUCAUUGAGGGCAUCUGUUUGCUGUGCCGCUUGUUUAAAGAGCGAGGCGUUUGCUAAUUGAAAACUAAAAGAUCCAUCCGUCUCACUCAGAGCCAGCAUGAAAUCCACUCAGCCAUGCAAGACCAGGGUGGAAAAGGCAGCACAGAGCUACCGCUAACGUAUCUUCAGGUUGGCGCACCCCACGGAAGUCAUCUCCUGUUUCCUGAGCAAGCCUGGCUCCCCUCCUCACCUCGAAGCAGCCAGGGGCUGCCCAUGCUACCGUUUAUCUAAUACUUCCUCAUCUAUUAUCCCCAGUGUAGUCCAGAGAGAAAGGGAAAGUUGGCUGCCAUGUCAUCAGGAUGUUCAAGCAGCUCUGUGGAAGGGUCUACAUGGUAAGGGACUGAAGCCUCCUGCCAACAGCCAUGUGAAUGAACCAUCUUGGAAGCCCAUCUUCCCUCCCCAGACAAGCCUUCAAGUGACCAUGGCCACUGCCAAGGUCUUAACCACGACCUUUUGAAAGACCCUGAGCCAGAACCACCUGACUGAGCUGCCUGAAUUCCUGACCCACAGGAGCUAUGAGAUAAUAAAUUUU
This is a long non-coding RNA of Bos taurus (domestic cattle), 628 nucleotides long. The record is from Ensembl. NCBI's taxonomy places the organism in Eukaryota, Metazoa, Chordata, Mammalia, Artiodactyla, Bovidae.